CAACCCUCGAGCCCCUCCGGGGGGUCGGCGUUGGGGAUCGGCCCUCCCUCGCGGGGGCCGGCCCCGAAAUGCAGUGGCGGUCCCGCCGCAGCCUCUCCUGCGCAGUAGUUUGCACACUCGCACCGGGAGCGCGGCGGGCCCAACGCCGUAAAACAACCCAACCUUCUGAAA
Molecule: unclassified non-coding RNA, 171 nt
Filed under: uncultured Trichoderma
Lineage: Eukaryota; Fungi; Ascomycota; Sordariomycetes; Hypocreales; Hypocreaceae
Description: sequence contains ITS2
Source: RNAcentral